RNAcentral lists this ribosomal RNA (467 nucleotides) under uncultured bacterium. Its description in RNAcentral is "partial 16S ribosomal RNA". It matches the Rfam family "Bacterial small subunit ribosomal RNA", at positions 29 to 507 of the family's 1533-position model. The record is from RNAcentral.
ACGAACGCUGGCGGCGUGCUUAACCCAUGCAAGUCGAACGGAAAGGCCCUGCUUUUGUGGGGUGCUCGAGUGGCGAACGGGUGAGUAACACGUGAGUAACCUGCCCUUGACUUUGGGAUAACUUCAGGAAACUGGGGCUAAUACCGGAUAGGAGCUCCUGCUGCAUGGUGGGGGUUGGAAAGUUUCGGCGGUUGGGGAUGGACUCGCGGCUUAUCAGCUUGUUGGUGGGGUAGUGGCUUACCAAGGCUUUGACGGGUAGCCGGCCUGAGAGGGUGACCGGCCACAUUGGGACUGAGAUACGGCCCAGACUCCUACGGGAGGCAGCAGUGGGGAAUAUUGCACAAUGGGCGGAAGCCUGAUGCAGCAACGCCGCGUGCGGGAUGACGGCCUUCGGGUUGUAAACCGCUUUCGCCUGUGACGAAGCGUGGGUGACGGUAAUGGGUAAAGAAGCACCGGCUAACUACGUG